RNAcentral lists this ribosomal RNA (1475 nucleotides) under uncultured Bordetella sp. RNAcentral describes it as "partial 16S-23S ribosomal RNA intergenic spacer". It matches the Rfam family "Bacterial small subunit ribosomal RNA". Lineage: Bacteria; Pseudomonadati; Pseudomonadota; Betaproteobacteria; Burkholderiales; Alcaligenaceae. The record is from RNAcentral.
GGUUCGAUCAUGGCUCAGAUUGAACGCUGGCGGGAUGCUUUACACAUACAGAGUCGAACGGCAGCACGGACUUCGGUCUGGUGGCGAGUGGCGAACGGGUGAGUAAUGUAUCGGAACGUGCCUAGUGGCAGGGGAUAACUACGCGAAAGCGUAGCUAAUACCGCAUACGCCCUUCGAGGAAAGCAGGGGACCUUCGGGCCUCGCACUAUUGAAGCAACCGAUAUCGGAUUAGCUAGUUGGUGGGGUAACGGCUCACCAGGCGACGAUCCGUAGCUGGUUUGAGAGGACGACCAGCCACACUGGGACUGAGACACGGCCCAGACUCCUACGGGAGGCAGCAGUGGGAAUUUUGGACAAUGGAAACCUGAUCCAGCCAUCCCGCGUGUGCGAUGAAGGCCUUCAGGGUUGUAAAGCACUUUGGCAAGAAAGAAACAGCUGGGAUAAUACCCGUGCAACUGACGGUACCUGCAGAAUAAGCACCGGCUAACUACGUGCCAGCAGCCGCGGUAAUACGUAGGGUGCAGCGUUAAUCGGAAUUACUGGGCGUAAAGCGUGCGCAGGCGGUUCGGAAGAAAGAUGUGAAAUCCCAGAGCUUAACUUUGGGAACUGCAUUUUUUAACUACCGAGCUAGAGUGUGUCAGAGGGAAGUUCGGAAUUCCGCACCGAUAUAGCAGUGAAAUGCGUAGAUAUGCGGAGGAACACCGAUGGCGAAGGCAGCCUCCUGGGAUAACACACUGACGCUCAUGCGAAAAGCGUGGGGAGCGACAGGAUUAGAUACCCUGGUAGUCCGCCCUAGCGAUGUCAACUAGCUGUUGGGGCCUUCGGGCCUUGGUAGCGCAACUAACGCGUGAAGUUGACCGCCUGGGAGUACGGUCGCAAGAUUAAAACUCAAAGGAAUUGACGGGGACCCGCACAAGCGGUGGAUGAUGUGGAUUAAUUCGAUGCAACGCGAAAAACCUUUACCCUUGACAUGUCUGGAAUCGAAAGAGAUUUGGGAGUGCUCGCAAGAAAACCCGGAACACAGGUGCUGCAUGGCUGUAGUCAGCUCGUGUCGUGAGAUGUUGGGUUAAGUCCGCAACGAGCGCAACCCUUAUCGUGGAUUGCUACGAAAGGGCACUAUUGUGAGACUGCCGAUGAAGCCGGAGGAAGGUGGGGAUGACGUCAGAGUCCUCAUGGCCCUUAUGGGUAGAGGGCUUCACGCGUCAUACAAUGGUCGGGACAGAGGUCGCCAACCCGCGAGGGGGAGCCAAUCCCAGAAACCCGAUCGUAGUCCGGAUCGCAGUCUGCAACUCGACUGCGUGAAGUCAGAAUCGCUAGUAAUCGCGGAUCAGCAUGUGCGGUGAAUACGUUCCCGGGUCUUGUACACACCGCCCGUCCUGCCUGGGGUGGUUUUACCAGAGAAGUAGUUAGCCUAACCGUAAGGAGGCGAUUACCACGGUAGGGUUCAUGACUGGGGUGAAGUCGUAACAAGGUAG